GACGAACGCUGGCGGCGUGCCUAAUACAUGCAAGUCGAGCGAAGUUUUUCUGGUGCUUGCACUAGAAAAACUUAGCGGCGAACGGGUGAGUAACACGUAAAGAACCUGCCUCAUAGACUGGGACAACUAUUGGAAACGAUAGCUAAUACCGGAUAACAGCAUUAACUGCAUGGUUGAUGUUUAAAAGUUGGUUUUGCUAACACUAUGAGAUGGCUUUGCGGUGCAUUAGCUAGUUGGUGGGGUAAAGGCCUACCAAGGCGACGAUGCAUAGCCGACCUGAGAGGGUGAUCGGCCACACUGGGACUGAGACACGGCCCAGACUCCUACGGGAGGCAGCAGUAGGGAAUCUUCCGCAAUGGGCGAAAGCCUGACGGAGCAACGCCGCGUGAGUAAAGAAGGAUUUCGGUUCGUAAAGCUCUGUUGUUAGGGAAGAAUGAUUGUGUAGUAACUAUACACAGUAGAGACGGUACCUAACCAGAAAGCCACGGCUAACUACGUG
Molecule: ribosomal RNA, 499 nt
Filed under: uncultured bacterium
Lineage: Bacteria
Description: partial 16S ribosomal RNA
Rfam family: Bacterial small subunit ribosomal RNA
Source: RNAcentral